GUGGGGAAUAUUGGACAAUGGGGGCAACCCUGAUCCAGCCAUGCCGCGUGAAUGAUGAAGGCCUUCGGGUUGUAAAGUUCUUUUGGAGGGGACGAUGAUGACGGUACCCUCAGAAGAAGCCCCGGCUAACUCCGUGCCAGCAGCCGCGGUAAUACGGAGGGAGCUAGCGUUGUUCGGAAUUACUGGGCGUAAAGCGCACGUAGGCGGUUACUCAAGUCAGAGGUGAAAGCCCGGGGCUCAACCCCGGAACUGCCUUUGAUACUGGGUGUCUUGAGUGUGAGAGAGGUGAGUGGAACUCCGAGUGUAGAGGUGAAAUUCGUAGAUAUUCGGAAGAACACCAGUGGCGAAGGCGACUCACUGGCUCAUUACUGACGCUGAGGCUCGAAAGCGUGGGGAGCAAACAGGAUUAGAUACCCGGGUAGUCC
RNAcentral lists this ribosomal RNA (425 nucleotides) under uncultured bacterium. Its description in RNAcentral is "partial 16S ribosomal RNA". It matches the Rfam family "Bacterial small subunit ribosomal RNA", at positions 354 to 796 of the family's 1533-position model. The record is from RNAcentral.